This 492-nucleotide ribosomal RNA is filed under the name uncultured bacterium. RNAcentral describes it as "partial 16S ribosomal RNA". It matches the Rfam family "Bacterial small subunit ribosomal RNA", at positions 28 to 507 of the family's 1533-position model. The record is from RNAcentral.
GAUGAACGCUCGCUACAGGCUUAACACAUGCAAGUCGAGGGGAAACGACAUCGAAAGCUUGCUUUUGAUGGGCGUCGACCGGCGCACGGGUGAGUAACGCGUAUCCAACCUGCCCACCACUUGGGGAUAACCUUGCGAAAGUAAGACUAAUACCCAAUGACGUCUCUAGAAGACAUCUGAAAGAGAUUAAAGAUUUAUCGGUGAUGGAUGGGGAUGCGUCUGAUUAGCUUGUUGGCGGGGUAACGGCCCACCAAGGCGACGAUCAGUAGGGGUUCUGAGAGGAAGGUCCCCCACAUUGGAACUGAGACACGGUCCAAACUCCUACGGGAGGCAGCAGUGAGGAAUAUUGGUCAAUGGACGAGAGUCUGAACCAGCCAAGUAGCGUGCAGGAUGACGGCCCUAUGGGUUGUAAACUGCUUUUAUAAGGGAAUAAAGUGAGUCUCGUGAGACUUUUUGCAUGUACCUUAUGAAUAAGGACCGGCUAAUUCCGUG